This 251-nucleotide ribosomal RNA is filed under the name uncultured prokaryote. RNAcentral's name for it is "partial 16S rRNA". It matches the Rfam family "Bacterial small subunit ribosomal RNA", at positions 525 to 775 of the family's 1533-position model. The record is from RNAcentral.
ACGUAGGGGGCAAGCGUUGUCCGGAAUGAUUGGGCGUAAAGGGCGCGUAGGCGGCCUGGUAAGUCUGGAGUGAAAGUCCUGCUUUUAAGGUGGGAAUUGCUUUGGAUACUGUCGGGCUUGAGUGCAGGAGAGGUAAGUGGAAUUCCCGGUGAAGCAGUUAAAGGCGUAUAGAUCGGGAGGAGGAGCAGUGGGGCAGGGGACUUACAGGACUAAAACCACCUCUAGAACGCGAUAGUGUGGGUAACAAUAAG